Molecule: ribosomal RNA, 433 nt
Filed under: uncultured bacterium
Lineage: Bacteria
Description: partial 16S ribosomal RNA
Rfam family: Bacterial small subunit ribosomal RNA
Source: RNAcentral
AACGAACGCUGGCGGCAUGCCUAACACAUGCAAGUCGAACGAAGGCUUCGGCCUUAGUGGCGCACGGGUGCGUAACGCGUGGGAAUCUGCCCUUUGCUUCGGAAUAACAGUUAGAAAUGACUGCUAAUACCGGAUGAUGUCGCAAGACCAAAGAUUUAUCGGCAAAGGAUGAGCCCGCGUAGGAUUAGCUAGUUGGUGGGGUAAAGGCCUACCAAGGCGACGAUCCUUAGCUGGUCUGAGAGGAUGAUCAGCCACACUGGGACUGAGACACGGCCCAGACUCCUACGGGAGGCAGCAGUGGGGAAUAUUGGACAAUGGGCGAAAGCCUGAUCCAGCAAUGCCGCGUGAGUGAUGAAGGCCUUAGGGCUGUAAAGCUCUUUUACCCGGGAUGAUAAUGACAGUACCGGGAGAAUAAGCUCCGGCUAACUCCGUG